RNAcentral lists this ribosomal RNA (380 nucleotides) under Taenia crassiceps. RNAcentral describes it as "LSU rRNA". It matches the Rfam family "Archaeal large subunit ribosomal RNA", at positions 2029 to 2695 of the family's 2987-position model. Lineage: Eukaryota; Metazoa; Platyhelminthes; Cestoda; Cyclophyllidea; Taeniidae. The record is from RNAcentral.
GAAGGUAGCAUAAUUAAUUGCCUUUUAAAUGGGGGCUUGUUUGAAUGGUUUGACGUGAUAGAUUUGAAUAUUUAGUAUUUUUUUGAAAUUGAUUAUGGGGGUUCAGAAUCCCCAUUAUUUAAUUAGACGGAAAGACCCUGGGAUCUUUUGUUUUUGUUUGGGGAAAAUUUUAUUGUUUUAUUAAUAUUAGGACCCUUUAAAUAGUAUAUUGAGUUAAGUUACCCCAGGGAUAACAGUGUAAUAAUUAAUAAGAGAUCUUAUCGAAUUAAUUGAUUGCCACCUCGAUGUUGACUUAGGUUAUAUAUUUAAGUGCAGUAGCUUAUAUAUUAGGUCUGUUCGACCUUUAUACCUUCAUGAGUUGAGUUAAGACCGGUGUGAGC